CUGCUGCCUUCCGUAGGAGUCUGGUCCGUGUCUCAGUACCAGUGUGGGGGACCUUCCUCUCAGAACCCCUACGCAUCGUCGCCUUGGUGGGCCGUUACCCCGCCAACAAGCUAAUGCGCCGCAUGCCCAUCCUCCGCCGGAAUCGCUUCCUUUUAACACCCGUGGGAUGCCCCACUGGUGUACCACGCGGUAUUAGUCCGGAUUUCUCCGGGUUAUCCCCCUGCGGAGGGCAGGUUGCAUACGUGUUACUCACCCGUGCGCCGGUCGCCGG
Molecule: ribosomal RNA, 271 nt
Filed under: uncultured bacterium
Lineage: Bacteria
Description: partial 16S ribosomal RNA
Source: RNAcentral